CCCGGAUUAAUACCGCAUACGUCCUACGGGAGAAAGCAGGGGAUCUUCAGACCUUGCGCUAUUGGAUGAGCCUAAGUCGGAUUAGCUAGUUGGUGGGGUAAAGGCCUACCAAGGCGACGAUCCGUAGCUGGUCUGAGAGGAUGAUCAGCCACAUCGGGACUGAGACACGGCCCGAACUCCUACGGGAGGCAGCAGUGGGGAAUAUUGGACAAUGGGGGCAACCCUGAUCCGGCCAUGCCGCGUGUGUGAAGAAGGCUUUCGGGUUGUAAAGCACUUUCAGUACGGAGGAAAACCUUAUGGUUAAUACCCAUGAGGCUUGACGUUACCUACAGAAGAAGCACCGGCUAACUCCGUGCCAGCAGCCGCGGUAAUACGGAGGGUGCAAGCGUUAAUCGGAAUUACUGGGCGUAAAGCGCGCGUAGGUGGUUUGGUAAGCGAGAUGUGAAAGCCCCGGGCUUAACCUGGGAACGGCAUUUCGAACUGUCAGACUAGAGUGUGGUAGAGGGUAGUGGAAUUUCCUGUGUAGCGGUGAAAUGCGUAGAUAUAGGAAGGAACACCAGUGGCGAAGGCGGCUACCUG
RNAcentral lists this ribosomal RNA (579 nucleotides) under Marinobacter nauticus. Its description in RNAcentral is "bacterial SSU rRNA". It matches the Rfam family "Bacterial small subunit ribosomal RNA", at positions 157 to 731 of the family's 1533-position model. Lineage: Bacteria; Pseudomonadati; Pseudomonadota; Gammaproteobacteria; Pseudomonadales; Marinobacteraceae. The record is from RNAcentral.